UAACUACGGGAUAACCCGUUGAAAGACGGCCUAAUACCGUAUGACAUCGUUUGCUGACAUCAAAUAACGAUUAAAGGUUUAGCGGUUUAUGGAUGGGGGAUGCGUCUGAUUAGCUUGUUGGCGGGUAACGGCCCACCCAAGGCGACGAUCCAGUAGGGGUUCUGAGAGGAAGGUCCCCCACAUUGGAACUGAGACACGGUCCAAACUCCUACGGGAGGCAGCAGUGAGGAAUAUUGGUCAAUGGGCGAGAGCCUGAACCAGCCAAGUAGCGUGCAGGAUGACGGCCCUAUGGGUUGUAAACUGCUUUGUUUGGGAAUAAUCGACAUUACGUGUAAUGUUUUGCAUGUACCAUUCGAAUAAGGACCGGCUAAUUCCGUGCCAGCAGCCGCGGUAAU
This 395-nucleotide ribosomal RNA is filed under the name uncultured Prevotella sp. RNAcentral describes it as "bacterial SSU rRNA". It matches the Rfam family "Bacterial small subunit ribosomal RNA", at positions 133 to 524 of the family's 1533-position model. Lineage: Bacteria; Pseudomonadati; Bacteroidota; Bacteroidia; Bacteroidales; Prevotellaceae. The record is from RNAcentral.